AGCUGGUCUGAGUGCAGUAUUGUUUACAACUAACUGAUCACAACCAGUUAUAGAUUUCUUUGUUCAUCUCCACUCCCACUGCCUCGCUUGAUAGCAAAAA
Molecule: non-coding RNA, 100 nt
Filed under: Homo sapiens (human)
Lineage: Eukaryota; Metazoa; Chordata; Mammalia; Primates; Hominidae
Source: RNAcentral